RNAcentral lists this ribosomal RNA (470 nucleotides) under Amazonian soil bacterium M19b. RNAcentral's name for it is "bacterial SSU rRNA". It matches the Rfam family "Bacterial small subunit ribosomal RNA", at positions 1002 to 1475 of the family's 1533-position model. The record is from RNAcentral.
AGAGAUGCGGGAGUGCCUUCGGGAUCAGAACACAGGUGCUGCAUGGCUGUUGUCAGCUCGUGUCGUGAGAUGUUGGGUUAAGUCCCGCAACGAGCGCAACCNUUGUCCUUAGUUGCCAGCACGUAAUGGUGGGAACUCUAAGGAGACUGCCGGUGACAAACCGGAGGAAGGUGGGGAUGACGUCAAGUCAUCAUGGCCCUUACGGCCAGGGCUACACACGUACUACAAUGGUCGGUACAGAGGGUUGCAAUACCGCGAGGUGGAGCCAAUCCCAGAAAGCCGAUCCCAGUCCGGAUCGAAGUCUGCAACUNGACUUCGUGAAGUCGGAAUCGCUAGUAAUCGCAGAUCAGCUAUGCUGCGGUGAAUACGUUCCCGGGCCUUGUACACACCGCCCGUCACACCAUGGGAGUGAGUUGCUCCAGAAGCCGUUAGCCUAACCGCAAGGAGGCGACGCCACGGAUGUUCAGAAA